Molecule: ribosomal RNA, 253 nt
Filed under: uncultured bacterium
Lineage: Bacteria
Description: partial 16S ribosomal RNA
Rfam family: Bacterial small subunit ribosomal RNA
Source: RNAcentral
GACGGAGGGUGCGAGCGUUGUUCGGAAUCACUGGGCGUAAAGGGCGCGUAGGCGGCCGUGCGUGUCGGGUGUGAAAGCCCGGGGCUCAACCCCGGAACGGCACCCGGGACUGCGCAGCUGGAGACCGGGAGAGGAGGGUGGAAUACCCAGUGUAGAGGUGAAAUUCGUAGAUAUUGGGUGGAACACCGGUGGCGAAAGCGGCUCUCUGGCCCGGUUCUGACGCUGAGGCGCGAAAGCGUGGGGAGCAAACAGG